RNAcentral lists this ribosomal RNA (323 nucleotides) under uncultured bacterium. RNAcentral describes it as "bacterial SSU rRNA". It matches the Rfam family "Bacterial small subunit ribosomal RNA", at positions 28 to 334 of the family's 1533-position model. The record is from RNAcentral.
GAUGAACGCUGGCGGCGUGCUUAACACAUGCAAGUCGAACGGGAAUUACUUUAUUGAAACUUCGGUCGAUUUAAUUUAAUUCUAGUGGCGGACGGGUGAGUAACGCGUGGGUAACCUGCCUUAUACAGGGGGAUAACAGUCAGAAAUGACUGCUAAUACCGCAUAAGCGCACGGAACCGCAUGGUUCUGUGUGAAAAACUCCGGUGGUAUAAGAUGGACCCGCGUUGGAUUAGCUUGUUGGUGAGGUAACGGCUCACCAAGGCGACGAUCGGUAGCCGGACUGAGAGGUUGAACGGCCACAUUGGGACUGAGACACGGCCCAG